CAAUUAAGUUCCGACUUCGGUUUCGACUUCUACAAGCUUUUGGAUUCCAAACUAAGUGAAGUUUGUCGGACUCCAAACUGAUUGAAGUCCUCAUAGUUCCUUCCCUCGCCUAUAAAUAAAAGGGAAGGCCUUUGUCCAAGGGGAGGCCGAGUGCGGAGAGGCAGGCCAAUAGAGAUUUCAGAUCUACUGGCGGAGUUUUUCUUCCUA
This 207-nucleotide long non-coding RNA is filed under the name Elaeis guineensis (African oil palm). RNAcentral describes it as "long non-coding RNA (EGUI_LNC044986)". The record is from RNAcentral. Lineage: Eukaryota; Viridiplantae; Streptophyta; Magnoliopsida; Arecales; Arecaceae.